CAGGCCUCGGCCUUAUCCAGUGAGGAGGAGGAGGAGAAAAGACCGUCCUCUCCCUCCCCCCUUUCCGCCUGCCUCCCUUCUCAAAUCUCUUUCCCUCUCCCGCUCCUUCAGCCUGUCUUCCCUUCACCUUUCCUUCCUUUUCACUACUGAGGAGACACCUACAGUUUCCCUCUAGCAGCUCCUUCCUCUCUCCUCCUGCCUCCCCUCCUAAAAAUCUCUUUCCCUCUCCCACUCCUCCAGCCUGUCCUCCCUGCACCUUUCCUCUCUUUUGCUGCUGAGAAGACACCUAGGACAGGGGUGUCAAACUGGUGCCAUGGAGGGUCGAGAGUCUGCUGUCCCGCUUCCCCUACCCCAGCUACCCCUUCAGUGGAGAAGUCCAACACCUCCACCGCCUCGUCCUUCUCCACCUUCCCCUCGACUUCCUGUGAUCCAGGCAGCAACCAGACCACCAAACCAGCAGACCAGGAAUCAGGCUGUGGUGAGAAAAUCUUCCAGGAGGAGGAGCAGAACAACUUGUCACUGGACAUCUCCUCUUCCAUUGAAGACAGCCUCCAACUCUACUUCAAGACUUGGAGUUGGAGUGCACUUGCCGGCUGAGCUAUGGCGGCCAGGCAGCAGUCGCCAGGUGGUUUCUCACUCUGCCCUGGUUGCUGGUUCUUCACAUGAAGAGGUUCCAGUGCGACGGAGGAGAGCUGAGGAAAGUGGAUGCUGCUGUUAGCAUCCCUGCAGAGCUGUCACUGACCUCCCUCUGUGGAGAGCAGACAGACCAACUGAGGUAAUGCUCAGCAGGAGGCAGUAUAAGCUCAGUAUGAAGACCAGAACACCUACUGACUCUCUACAAUGGUCUCUCACAUCGGGAAGAGCAUGGACGGCGGUCACUGUAUCAGUGUCACUGUAGAGGGAGAUGCAACAAAUGGCUGUCCCUCAGUGACUCCCAUGUGGAAAAGACAGAAGAGACGGUCCUGAGAGAGAGAGAGAGGACACGGCGUACCUGCUGUUCUCAGUGGGCCAUGAGAGGAGGGACGAUGAAGCCCAGCAGCAGCACCAGGAGACCAACCAAACUGUCUGCACCAGCCAGGUCUAAACAGGCCCGGCUUUUAUUCUGACAAGUUUUAUUUAACCCUCUGAAAAUCACUUUGUUUCUAAAAAUUGCAACUUUUGCCUGUGAUGAUGUAAUUUCUUUUGUUGGAAAGUACAGAUUCUUGUUAUUUUUUAUUAUUAAUAAUGCAGGUUAUGUUCUGAAUUUUUUGGGUUUGUUUUUCAUUUAUAUAAUUUUUAGACAGGCUUCACUUUCAGACAAAAAAAAUACAGCAUCUUCGUAGAGCAAAGAAUCUAUUUUAAAUUAACACGAAUAAAGGCAGUUACCUUCAGAGGGUUAAUUUAAACAUGUCCAAAUAAAAUGUCGCUCCUGGUUUUCGGGUUAGUAAGUAAGCACACCCUUUGAAAUAGUUCUCAUAUGUUUUCCUCUCUCUGAUCAGGUGAGUGUCAUACAGAAGCUUGGCUGUAACCCACUAGGACUCUCCAGAUUCUGAGUGUUGUGGCUCACUGAUGGAUAAUCUUGUCUGUUAACAGGAUGCUGGUGCCGCUUGCUUGUCUCUUUGAAGAGCAGCUGGAUGAACCUGCAGAGAACAAAGAGAAUGCUCAUCAGGAAGCUGUGGCUGUGUCCUGUCGCCUCCUGCUGUUUUUCCUCCAUGGCUGCUGAUCGUCCUGCACUGCUGGGUCGCCUGCCUUGCUCAAAGGCAGGCUCAAAGCUUUUCUUUUGUAAUAUACCUGUGUUACUUUGGUAAUCUGCCCUCUGUGUCGACACUUAUUACACACCUGCCUGGCCAGGAA
Long non-coding RNA from Myripristis murdjan (pinecone soldierfish), 1833 nucleotides. RefSeq lists it as uncharacterized. The record is from RefSeq and is a predicted model, not a curated record. Lineage: Eukaryota; Metazoa; Chordata; Actinopteri; Holocentriformes; Holocentridae. The transcript has 9 exons.